Molecule: ribosomal RNA, 407 nt
Filed under: uncultured Desulfobulbus sp.
Lineage: Bacteria; Pseudomonadati; Thermodesulfobacteriota; Desulfobulbia; Desulfobulbales; Desulfobulbaceae
Description: bacterial SSU rRNA
Rfam family: Bacterial small subunit ribosomal RNA
Source: RNAcentral
CUUGACAUCCCGGAGACCCUUAGGAAACUAGGGGUGCUUCCAUCUGGAGAAUCUGGAGACAGGUGCUGCAUGGCUGUCGUCAGCUCGUGUCGUGAGAUGUUGGGUUAAGUCCCGCAACGAGCGCAACCCUUGCCUUUAGUUGCCAGCAGUUCGGCUGGGCACUCUAAAGGGACUGCCGGUGUUAAACCGGAGGAAGGUGGGGAUGACGUCAAGUCCUCAUGGCCUUUAUGACCAGGGCUACACACGUACUACAAUGGCCGAUACAAAGGGCAGCGACACUGCGAGGUGAAGCCAAUCCCGUAAAAAUCGGUCUCAGUCCGGAUUGGAGUCUGCAACUCGACUCCAUGAAGUUGGAAUCGCUAGUAAUCGUGGAUCAGCAUGCCACGGUGAAUACGUUCCCGGGCCUU